CGCCGAAUAGAAUUAGACCCUGAAAAUAGGAUGGCGCUUAAGCAUAUUACUUAUACUCAACCGUCACAACUCAAAUACAAAUUAAUUAAGAGUUGACGUGUAGGAGGGCGUGGAGCUUUGUUAAGAAAUCUCUGUCAGUGAUGAUGGAUGGAACAGGCUCUAGUGCAGAUCUUGGUGGUAGUAGCAAAUAUUCAAAUGAGAACUUUGAAGACUGAAGUGGAGAAAGGUUCCAUGUGAACAGCAUUUGGACAUGGGUUAGUCGAUCCUAAGAGAUAGGGGUGAAGCCGUUACAAAGGGUAAUUGCAAUUGAUGCCAGAUAUGUCUACGGAUGUGUUUGGUUUCCUUCUCACGAAGGACUUUGCAUCUUCUAUCGAAAGGGAAUCAGGUUAAUAUUCCUGAACUGAACAGGGG
RNAcentral lists this ribosomal RNA (411 nucleotides) under uncultured eukaryote. Its description in RNAcentral is "eukaryotic LSU rRNA". It matches the Rfam family "Eukaryotic large subunit ribosomal RNA", at positions 1295 to 1634 of the family's 3401-position model. The record is from RNAcentral.